CUACGGGCGGCAGCAGUCAAGAAUCUUCCGCAAUGCACGAAAGUGUGACGGAGCGACGCCGCGUGCAGGACGAAGGCCUUCGGGUCGUAAACUGCUUUUAUUAGGGACGAACAAAUGACGGUACCUAAAGAAUAAGGGGUUGCUAACUCUGUGCCAGCAGCAGCGGUAAUACAGAGACCUCAAACGUUGUCCGGAUUUAUUGGGCGUAAAGGGUCCGCAGGCGGUUUUAUAAGUCAUAUGUCAAAUCUUCAGGCUCAACCUGGAGGCUGCGUGUGAUACUGUAAGACUAGAGGAUGGGAGAGGUGCACGGAAUUGCUGGUGUAGCGGUAAAAUGCGUUAAUAUCAGCAAGAACACCAAAGGCGAAGGCAGUGCACUGGAACAUUCCUGACGCUCAGGGACGAAAGCGUGGGUAGCGAAUGGGAUUAGAUACCCGCGUAGUC
Molecule: ribosomal RNA, 441 nt
Filed under: uncultured bacterium
Lineage: Bacteria
Description: partial 16S ribosomal RNA
Rfam family: Bacterial small subunit ribosomal RNA
Source: RNAcentral